This 449-nucleotide ribosomal RNA is filed under the name uncultured bacterium. RNAcentral's name for it is "SSU rRNA". It matches the Rfam family "Bacterial small subunit ribosomal RNA", at positions 26 to 518 of the family's 1533-position model. The record is from RNAcentral.
AGAGCGAACGCUGGCGGCAGGCUUAACACAUGCAAGUCGAACGGGCAUAGCAAUAUGUCAGUGGCAGACGGGUGAGUAACGCGUGGGAACAUACCUCUUGGUUCGGAACAACACAGGGAAACUUGUGCUAAUACCGGAUAAGCCCUUACGGGGAAAGAUUUAUCGCCGAGAGAUUGGCCCGCGUCUGAUUAGCUAGUUGGUGUGGUAAAAGCGCACCAAGGCGACGAUCAGUAGCUGGUCUGAGAGGAUGAUCAGCCACAUUGGGACUGAGACACGGCCCAAACUCCUACGGGAGGCAGCAGUGGGGAAUUUUCGUCAAUGGGGGAAACCCUGAACGAGCAACGCCGCGUGCAGGAUGAAGGUUUUCGGAUCGUAAACUGCUUUUCUGUGGGACGAGCAAGGACGGUACCACAGGAAGAAGCCCCGGCUAACUACGUGCCAGCAGCCGC